UACAGAGGGUGCGAGCGUUAAUCGGAAUUACUGGGCGUAAAGCGUGCGCAGACGGUCACGUAAGUCGGGUGUGAAAGCCCCGGGCUCAACCUGGGAAUUGCAUUCGAGACUGCGUGGCUAGGGUGCGGAAGAGGGAAGCGGAAUUUCCGGUGUAGCGGUGAAAUGCGUAGAUAUCGGAAGGAACACCAGUGGCGAAAGCGGCUUCCUGGUCCAGCACCGACGUCAGGCACGAAAGCGUGGGGAGCAAACAGG
This 252-nucleotide ribosomal RNA is filed under the name uncultured bacterium. RNAcentral's name for it is "partial 16S ribosomal RNA". It matches the Rfam family "Bacterial small subunit ribosomal RNA", at positions 524 to 776 of the family's 1533-position model. The record is from RNAcentral.